This 711-nucleotide ribosomal RNA is filed under the name Triticum aestivum (bread wheat). RNAcentral's name for it is "partial small subunit ribosomal RNA". The record is from RNAcentral. Lineage: Eukaryota; Viridiplantae; Streptophyta; Magnoliopsida; Poales; Poaceae.
GUGAGCCGUCCUCCUUAUGCUGAGAAGGGCUCGUCGCGCCGUGACACCGUCUGUGGUUACUACUCCCGGGCAGGUCACCCAGAGUCUGACUGUCGCCAGAAGAAGCGAGACCAGAGGCGCUCCACCUCCAGCGGGCCUCCUGUGUCUUCCUCGACUCCGUCACACACUGACCAGGACAUUGUUCGCCUCAAGCGUCUUCUGGCUUCCUUAGGCUCCUCGUCGACUGGCUCUGCUGCUGCUGUGACUGCCCCCUCCUCCUCACCAUCACAGGCAUCUACACAGUCAGGUACAUCUUCGUGGGUUCUGGAUUUUGGAGCCUCUUUUCAUAUGUCUUCUGAUUCUUCCGCCUUGUCUUUUCUUCGGCCUCUUGAUUCGCCUGUUAAUGUUCUUACUGUCGAUAGCACAUCUCUUCCUGUUGCUAGUCGCGGUAUUCUUUCCACUCCUUCUUUUUUUGUUCCGAGUGUUUCACAUGUUCCUCGCCUUACCAUGAAUCUUUUUUCCGCUGCCCAAAUUACUGAUUCUGGUUGUCGUGUCAUUCUUGAUACCGACUCUUGCUCCAUUCAGGAUCGUCGCACCAAGGCUUUGGUUGGUGCUGGCCCAAGGCUUUGGUUGGUGCUGGCCCCCGUCGCCGUGAGUCAGAGGGCCUUUGGGAGGUUGACUGGCUUUGUGUUCCUUCCGCUGCCACCACUUCUGCUAGCUCUCAUGCACUAG